CUAAUACAUGCAAGUCGAGCGAGAAGACGUAGCAAUACGUUUGUAAAGCGGCGAACGGGUGAGGAAUACAUGGGUAACCUACCCUUGAGUGGGGAAUAACUAGCCGAAAGGUUAGCUAAUACCGCGUACGCUCCUUGGACUUCGGUUCAGGGAGGAAAGCGAUACCGAGGGUAUCGCGCUCUUGGCUGGGCUCAUGUCCUAUCAGCUUGUUGGUGAGGUAACGGCUCACCAAGGCUUCGACGGGUAGCUGGUCUGAGAGGACGAUCAGCCACACUGGCACUGCGACACGGGCCAGACUCCUACGGGAGGCAGCAGUAAGGAAUAUUGCGCAAUGGGCGAAAGCCUGACGCAGCGACGCCGCGUGGGGGAUGAAGGUCUUCGGAUUGUAAACCCCUUUCGGGAGGGAAGAUGGAAUGGGGUAACUCAUUCGGACGGUACCUUCCAAAACAACCCGGUUACUUCGUUGCCACAACCCC
Molecule: ribosomal RNA, 476 nt
Filed under: uncultured bacterium
Lineage: Bacteria
Description: bacterial SSU rRNA
Rfam family: Bacterial small subunit ribosomal RNA
Source: RNAcentral